RNAcentral lists this long non-coding RNA (1293 nucleotides) under Carica papaya (papaya). RNAcentral describes it as "long non-coding RNA (CPAP_LNC006200)". The record is from RNAcentral. Lineage: Eukaryota; Viridiplantae; Streptophyta; Magnoliopsida; Brassicales; Caricaceae.
ACAUGUAAAUAUCAUAUUAUUAACAUAAUCAUCACUAUAUUUUGCUUGGGAUAUCUGCACUUUUCCCCAUGGCUGCAACUCCUGUAUUCUUAACUUCGAUGGCCCCUAAUGAUCUUCAUCAUGAUCAACUUCAAUUCUCCGGCGACUCUCACUUUGCUCUUCACGGUGAGAUCAUGAUGCUUAUUCUUGUCUUGCUUUUUGUUAUCUUUCUCCUCUUCCUCUUCUUCCUUCUCUACACAAAACGCUUUCGAACUCAACCUAAAGAUGACUUGUCGACCUCCCAGCCCGAUUUACCAACCAAUCUUCCGAUGAUUCAGUUCAAUGGCGGGUGCAAGUGAGUACAAGACCUAUAACCCUUCAACAAAUAUAGAUAGAGCAUCAAUUAUAGCCUUGCUCAUAUACAUAUAUUUAUAUGUAUGUGUUUUUACAAUAUUAUUUAUAUAUCUGCCAUGAUUAAUUGGCUCAGUCCGUAUUGAAAGCUUAAUUUGUAAUUAAGUUAAGGUUAUAAUUAGUUAUCUCCCAUGAAUUAUGAUUCUUUCUAGCUAAAAGAGUAGACAAUUUUCAGUUAAUUAAUGGAGAAAAUGCAUAUGUAUGUAUACAAGACAAGAAAUUAAGAAAGAUUAAUUAAUUAAUUAAUUAAUUAAUCAAAUUAAUUAUUUGUGUUUUUAGAGUUCCGUGUGUGAUUGGGUAACUUACCACCACAAAAUUUGAUGAUGUAUACAAGAUGUUAGGUUGGUGGUACAACUUGUCAAUUGUAAGACAGACAGCCACCAUUUUCAUAUUUAGAUAUGAAGGUACGCUGAGGUGGCACCAAGUGAUUGGGUGGACGUACCAGAUAUUUUCUCUUUUCUCUCUCUAUUAUUGCUCAAGAACUGGACAUACAUACGUAUAUGUAUGUAUGUAUCUACGUACCAACAUGCCAAGGGACUUCCCUCCCACCCAAGAGGAUGGAUAUUUCUAUUAAUUCUCUACUUCUGUAUUGGGUUAAACCUUAAAAUGUAUUUAAAGUAUUAACUUCAAUCUUAUGUAGUUUGUAAGAUAAUAAACACAUACUACCUAUUAGAUUUUAUGCUAAGAAUGUACAAAAUAAACUUUUUCUAUUAGUUAACUUAUUUGUUUAAUUAUCAUCUUAAGACUUAUAUAUGUAAUGGUGUAAAUCAUUACUUAGUUAUAUUACACUGACAAAUGGCCUCUUAGCUCAGUUGGUUAGAGUAUUGUGCUAAUAACGCAAAUGUUAUUAUUAUUAUUAUUUUUUUUUACAUAAUUUAAUAGCAAAAUUAUAAAUGAUUCCAC